Molecule: long non-coding RNA, 264 nt
Organism: Cyprinus carpio (common carp)
Lineage: Eukaryota; Metazoa; Chordata; Actinopteri; Cypriniformes; Cyprinidae
Exons: 2
Source: RefSeq, a predicted model, not a curated record
UCAGUGAUUGUGUGCAUUUGUGAUGACACCGAUGAAUGAUACAACACAAAAAAGCUUCAGUCUGUUUGGCCCCUUUAAGCAGAAAUUCAAUCGUCUGUAUAAAAGUGAGAAGGAACACAAGGAGCGUGAGAACUACUUUAUACAUACUCAACGGUUUGUGCACUCUAGAAACAGAGCCGGUCUUACAUAUAGUGUCGGUAUCAAUAACUUCGCUGAUUGGUCAAAGGCAGAGCUGGCCAGGAUGACAGGAGGUAUUCCAAAUAA